This 486-nucleotide ribosomal RNA is filed under the name uncultured bacterium. RNAcentral describes it as "bacterial SSU rRNA". It matches the Rfam family "Bacterial small subunit ribosomal RNA", at positions 30 to 507 of the family's 1533-position model. The record is from RNAcentral.
AUUGAACGCUGGCGGCAUGCCUUACACAUGCAAGUCGAACGGCAGCACGGGAGCAAUCCUGGUGGCGAGUGGCGAACGGGUGAGUAAUAUAUCGGAACGUGCCCAGUCGUGGGGGAUAACGCAGCGAAAGCUGUGCUAAUACCGCAUACGAUCUAUGGAUGAAAGCGGGGGACUCGCAAGAGCCUCGCGCGAUUGGAGCGGCCGAUAUCAGAUUAGCUAGUUGGUGGGGUAAAAGCCCACCAAGGCGACGAUCUGUAGCUGGUCUGAGAGGACGACCAGCCACACUGGAACUGAGACACGGUCCAGACUCCUACGGGAGGCAGCAGUGGGGAAUUUUGGACAAUGGGCGAAAGCCUGAUCCAGCAAUGCCGCGUGCAGGACGAAGGCCUUCGGGUUGUAAACUGCUUUUGUACGGAACGAAACGGUCUGCCCUAAUACGGUGGGCUAAUGACGGUACCGUAAGAAUAAGCACCGGCUAACUACGUG